ACGGGUUCUGAGCUCCCAGAGCUCCCUGUCACCCCCCCAUCCUGCCUUUUGCUGAGUUAAUCCGCAGCCCUGCCGGCUGAGGGGACUUACCAAGGGCUUUCCGAUGGGAGGAAGCAGUUUGGAGCUCGCACACGCUGGAAUAGCUGCUACCCAGUAAUGAAGCAGGAGAUGAGAAGUCUCACUCUUUCAGCAGCUAUUCAGACUUUCCCUGGGAACAGAGAAAGGAAUGGACAUAUUAGAAGGAUCAGACAGCUGAAAUAUGUCAAUGUGGGAACUAAGUUGGAACUUGAAUAAAAACCUUGAGGAAGGAGUGUGGAACCCUCCUGAGCUAGAGCUGAAACUGAACAUGUUAGAGAUGCAUCAAUGGAAACAACAGAGCAAUUCCAUUCCUCAGAUCUCCUGAGACAUUCCACUGCACCAUGUAAGAACAUAGAA
RNAcentral lists this long non-coding RNA (435 nucleotides) under Zonotrichia albicollis (white-throated sparrow). RNAcentral describes it as "lncRNA (ENSZALG00000006814.1)". Lineage: Eukaryota; Metazoa; Chordata; Aves; Passeriformes; Passerellidae. The record is from RNAcentral.